Molecule: ribosomal RNA, 443 nt
Filed under: uncultured bacterium
Lineage: Bacteria
Description: partial 16S ribosomal RNA
Rfam family: Bacterial small subunit ribosomal RNA
Source: RNAcentral
CCUACGGGAGGCUGCAGUGGGGAAUAUUGGGCAAUGGGCGAAAGCCUGACCCAGCAACGCCGCGUGAAGGAUGAAGGUCUUCGGGUUGUAAACUUCUUUUCUGAGGGAAGAAGAAAGUGACGGUACCUCAGGAAUAAGCCUCGGCUACCUACGUGCCAGCAGCCGCGGUAAUACGUAGGAGGCGAGCGUUAUCCGGAGUGAUUGGGUGUAAAGGGCGGGUAGGCGGGAUGGCAAGUCAGAUGUGAAAAUCCAGGGCUCAACCUUGGGACUGCAAUUGAAACUGGUGAUCUUGAGUGCUGGAGAGGCAAUCGGAAUUCCUGGUGUAGCGGUGAAAUGCGUAGAUAUAAGGAGGAACACCAGUGGCGAAGGCGGAUUGCUGGACCGUAACUGACGCUGAGGCGCGAAAGCGUGGGGAGCAAACAGGAUUAGAUACCCUUGUAGUC